UCAAAUUAAAUUGAAAUAUAAUUUAUUUAUUUAUAUUUUUAUUUAAAUUUUUAUUUUUAUUAAAAAUAAUUAUAAUUAUGAAUGUUUUAGUAUAGUAUAUAGAAUAAAUAAUUUUUAUGAUAGUGAAUUAGUACUGUGAAGAAAAAUUGAAAUAAUUUGAAAAAUUAAUAUUUAAAAAGAAAAUUUGAUUUAUUGUACCUUGUGUAUCAGGGUUUAUUAAUUAAAAAAUAAUUAUAAUUAUUUUUCUCGAUUUCAAAAGAGUUAAUAAAUUAUAUUAGUUUAUGUAAAAAAAUAAUUAAUAAUAAUUUAUUAGAAAUGAAAAGUUAAUCGUUUUUGAAGGUAUCUAGUUUUUUAAUAAAUGAAUUUAAUUCAGUUAUUUUGAAUAUAUUGAUUUAAUUAUUUAAUUUAAUAUUUGAAAAUAAUAAUAUUUUAUGGGAUAAGCUGUAAAAUAAAUAAUUAAAAAUUAAUUAAUUUAUUAAUAAAUAUAUGCUUAUAAAUAGCAAUUAUUAUUAAAUAUGUUAUAAUUUAUUUUAUAAAAUUAAUUAUUUAAUUUAAUUUUAAUUAUUUAUUAAAAUAUUUAUUUUAAUAAUAAAAAUAAAUUAAUAAUGAUAGAAUUAGUAUAUAUUUUAAUUUGUAUAAAUAUAAUAAAUUAAUAGUUUUAUAUAAAGAACUCGGCAAAUAUUAUAUUCGCCUGUUUAUCAAAAACAUGUCUUUUUGUAUUUUAUUUAAAGUCUAAUCUGCCCACUGAAAUUAUUGAAGGGCCGCUGUAUUUUAACCGUGCAAAGGUAGCAUAAUCAUUAGUUUUUUAAUUGAAGGCUUGUAUGAAUGAUUGGACGAGAUAUAAACUGUUUCAUAUAAAAUUAAAUAAAAUUUUAUUUUUUAGUUAAAAAGCUAAAAUAAAUUUAAAAGACGAGAAGACCCUAUAGAUCUUAAUAAUUUAUAUAUUUUAUUUAUAUAGAAAAUUUAAAAUAUUAUAAUUAUAAUUAUUUUAUUGGGGUGAUAAUAAAAUUUAGAAAACUUUUAUAUUUAAUUUACAUGAAUUAAUGAAUAAUUGAUCCAUUUUUAAUGAUUAAUAAAUUAAGUUACCUUAGGGAUAACAGCGUAAUUUUUUUAGAGAGUUCAUAUCGAUAAAAAAGUUUGCGACCUCGAUGUUGGAUUAAGAAAUAAAAUUGGGUGUAGAAGUUCAAAAUUUUAGGUCUGUUCGACCUUU
This 1210-nucleotide ribosomal RNA is filed under the name Chrysops carbonarius. RNAcentral describes it as "partial 16S ribosomal RNA". Lineage: Eukaryota; Metazoa; Arthropoda; Insecta; Diptera; Tabanidae. The record is from RNAcentral.